RNAcentral lists this unclassified non-coding RNA (320 nucleotides) under plant metagenome. RNAcentral's name for it is "partial contains 5.8S ribosomal RNA, internal transcribed spacer 2, and large subunit ribosomal RNA". The stretch from base 1 to 105 matches the Rfam family "5.8S ribosomal RNA", at positions 50 to 154 of the family's 154-position model. The record is from RNAcentral.
GAAAUGCGAUAAGUAAUGUGAAUUGCAGAAUUCAGUGAAUCAUCGAAUCUUUGAACGCACAUUGCGCCCGCCAGUAUUCUGGCGGGCAUGCCUGUUCGAGCGUCAUUACAACCCUCAGGCCCCCGGGCCUGGCGUUGGGGAUCGGCGGAAGCCCCCUGCGGGCACAACGCCGUCCCCCAAAUACAGUGGCGGUCCCGCCGCAGCUUCCAUUGCGUAGUAGCUAACACCUCGCAACUGGAGAGCGGCGCGGCCACGCCGUAAAACACCCAACUUCUGAAUGUUGACCUCGAAUCAGGUAGGAAUACCCGCUGAACUUAUGC